Molecule: ribosomal RNA, 1563 nt
Filed under: Triticum aestivum (bread wheat)
Lineage: Eukaryota; Viridiplantae; Streptophyta; Magnoliopsida; Poales; Poaceae
Description: partial small subunit ribosomal RNA
Source: RNAcentral
AUGUCAACAACUGAAAGCAGAAGGCUGUCCGAUGACUAUGAAGUUGCGGAUGUCCUUGGCCGAGGCGGUUUUUCCAUAGUCAGAAGAGGUGUGAGCAAGUCUGAUGAUGGAAAGACCCAGGUCGCAAUAAAGACUCUCCGAAGGCUCGGCCCUGCGAUGAUGGGGAUGCAGCAGGGGUCAAAGGGCGCGCCGAGCUCGGGCGGCCUCCCGCUGUGGAAGCAGGUAUCCAUCUCCGACGCGCUGCUCACCAACGAGAUUCUUGUCAUGAGGAGGAUAGUGGAGAACGUCGCGCCGCACCCGAACGUCAUCAGCCUGCACGAUGUGUACGAGGAUGCGCACGGCGUACACCUCGUCCUCGAGCUGUGCUCGGGUGGCGAGCUGUUUGACAGGAUCAUAGGGCGCGAGCGGUACUCGGAGUUUGAUGCGGCCGCUGUUGUUAGGCAGAUUGCUGGUGGGUUGAAGGCUCUUCACAAGGCCAACAUCAUACACAGGGACUUGAAGCCAGAGAACUGCCUCUUCUCGGACAGAAAAGAAGAUUCCACGCUGAAGAUUAUGGAUUUCGGUUUGAGUUCUGUAGAAGAUUUCAGUGACCCGGUUGUGGCGCUGUUUGGGUCGGUAGAUUAUGUUUCACCAGAGGCACUCUCGCGGCAAGAGGUUUCGACUGCAAGUGAUAUGUGGUCUGUUGGGGUGAUUCUGUAUAUUCUUUUGUCCGGGUGCCCACCAUUUCAUGCUGCAACCAAUCAAGAAAAGCAGCAAAGGAUCCUGCAAGGUGAAUUCAGUUUUCAGGAGCAUACAUGGAAAACAAUAACUUCAUCAGCCAAAGAUUUGAUUUCCAGUCUGCUUUCCGUUGAACCUUACAGAAGGCCCACUGCGAGUGAUCUUUUGAUGCAUCCUUGGGUGAUAGGAGACUGCGCCAAGCAAGAUCGCAUCGACGCAGAGGUUGUCUCGAAACUGCAGAGGUUCAAUGCUAGAAGGAAAUUGCGGGCAGCAGCAAUAGCCAGCGUCCUGAGCAGCAAAGUGGCAUUGAGGACAAAAAGGCUGAGGAGUCUUUUAGGAACCCAUGACCUUACCUCGGAAGAGCUAGAUAACCUGAGGCAACAUUUUGCACGGAUAUGCGCAGAUGGAGAGAACGCCACACUAACAGAAUUCGAGCAGGUGCUGAAAGCAAUGAAGAUGGACUCGCUGAUCCCUCUAGCUCCUCGUGUAUUUGAUUUGUUCGACAACAACCGUGACGGAACCGUGGACAUGAGGGAGAUCCUUUGCGGGCUCUCCAGCCUGAGGAACUCGCGGGGCGACGACGCUCUGCGGCUCUGCUUCCAGAUGUACGAUGCCGAUCGGUCGGGCUGCAUCAGCAAGGAAGAGCUGGCUUCGAUGCUCCGGGCGCUGCCUGAGGAGUGCCUCCCGGGGGACAUCGCGGAGCCGGGGAAGCUGGACGAGAUGUUCGACACGAUGGACGCCAACGGCGACGGCGAGGUCACCUUCGACGAGUUCAAGGCGGCGAUGCAGAAGGACAGCGCCCUGCAGGACGUCGUCCUCUCAUCCCUGCGACCCGGGCAGCAGUAG